RNAcentral lists this ribosomal RNA (253 nucleotides) under uncultured bacterium. RNAcentral describes it as "partial 16S ribosomal RNA". It matches the Rfam family "Bacterial small subunit ribosomal RNA", at positions 524 to 776 of the family's 1533-position model. The record is from RNAcentral.
UACAGAGGGUGCGAGCGUUAAUCGGAAUUACUGGGCGUAAAGCGUGCGUAGACGGUAGCGUAAGUCAGAUGUGAAAGCCCCGGGCUCAACCUGGGAAUUGCAUUUGAGACUGCUCUGCUCGGGUGCGGAAGAGGGAAGCGGAAUUUCCGGUGUAGCGGUGAAAUGCGUAGAGAUCCGGAGGAACACCGAAGGCGAAGGCAGUCUCCUGGCAAGUUACUGACGCUCAGGUGCGAAAGCUAGGGGAGCGAACAGG